UCUGCCUCCCAAGUGCUGGGAUUAAAGGCGUGAGCCACCACGCCCGGCUAAAUCUUUAGUUUCGAGUUACUGAAUGUGGUAUUUCUUUCUACCCUUUUUUGACAUUUUACAAUUAAUUUUUUUUAAUUCAGGUAAUGCUUAUCUAGCCUCUUUUGCCAGUUUAAAGUUAAAUUUGAAUUUUAAACCCCCCAGUAAAUCGAGCCAUACAUUUUGGAAUGGAAAGGGCACUGGAGAUCAUUUGAAUUCCAGAGAGUGUCUUGCCCUGAUUGCACAAUUGUCAAUAUGAUAACAGAGUCAGAAAUGAGAUUUCCUAAUUUCCUAAGAAAGCUGUCUGACUCCUUUCCCUAAAGAAACUAGCCUGGAUAGCUGUCCACAGCCUGGAGACAGUGGACACUAAUUUCUAGUCUUUUUUUUUUUUUUUUUGAAGCAUUUGUAGUCAAAACACUUGUAGCUGUGUUUGCCUUGCCAUGGCGUCCAAGAGCUGUGAAUUCCUGUUUUGGCACUGGGAGGCGGUGUUUUACAGAACAAUGAGCCUGGUCUUGCUGCAGGUUCUGCCUGCCUAGCUGUGUGGUCUUGCCUGAGUUACUUUGUUUUCCAGGUCUUUCAGAAGUGUUGUUAGUAUUUAUUGAGAUGAAAAAUAGCUACCAAGUAUUGAACUUGCUCUAUGGCACAGAUGUGGUUCUAAACACUUAACCUAUCUCAGGGUAAUCAGGAGAUAUUGUUAUUUUUCUCCAUCUUAAAGAUGAAGAAACUGAGACCCCAGGAAAAUUAAGUAAACCAUUCAGUUUUUAAAAAUGCUCCUAAAUUACUAAAUUUGGGAUUUAGUGGGUCUACAUGACUGUUAGAGCUGAAAAAGGAAUCUGACAUCUGAGUCCCUCAGCACAGUGCCUGCCAUGUGCUAGAUAUACAGUGUAUAUCAGGUGAGUUUGAGGUGACAUGAUGAGGCUUCCUAUAGAUUUAAUUCCAGCUCCAAUCUAUUCAAUCCAAGAGUGAAUUCCUAGAUUCCCUUUAUCCUGCCUUAUGCUCUUGGCCUAAUGCUUUCAGCUCUUCGCAUCCUGCCCUCUUAUAUGAACCAAACCACAAAGCUUGGCACUGUCCUUGGUCCCUGUCUUUCCUUCACAUCCACGUACCGUCAUCCAGUUCUGCUGCCUCUAUGUUCAGAUAGAAUCUGACUACCUCUCACAAGCUCUACACUGUGAUACAAAGCCAGCCAGCUCCACUUGUGAUGCAGGAUAGUUCCAGAGUCUUCCUACUAGCAUCCUUACUAGUCUACUUGCCUUACCCUGACUUGGAACAGUUGGAUCACCUCACUCAAAGUCCUCUAGUGGCUCCCAUGUUACUGUGAGAAGAAGCCAAUAUGCACUCCUUUCCCUGACCUUUGGGCCUCAUCUCCUGACUUGCUUCCUUGUUCACUUCUUCCCUGGCCUCCUUGCCUUUCCUGGAGCAACAGCACAGCCUGGAUUCUAGACUUUUGCAUUUUGCCUUCCCUCUUGUCUUGAUAGCUUUUCUCUUACACACCAUGGUUUGCUCUCAGUCCUCAUGUGGAUCUUAGCUUAAAUAUUAGCUUCAUGCUAAGGCUUUUCCUUGCCUGUCGUUAAAAAUUGUGCAACUCUUCCCCCAGCCCUGCCAGUUCCUAAUCUCUUACUCUGCUUUAUUGAUACACGACACUUAAUAUCCGCCUAGUACACUAUAUAAUUUGCUUAUUUGCUUGCUAGUUACCCAGCUUCAUUGACUGUAAAAUGAGUGAAGAAUAUUCACAGUAGUAGGGUUUUCUUUUCUUUUCUUUUCCUUCCUUCCUUCCUUCCUUCCUUCCUUCCUUCCUUCUUCCUUUUCUUCUUAGACUUGGCCUUGCUGUGUUGCCUGGGCUGGUCUUAACCCUUGUCCUCAAAGUUACCCUCUUCCUACCCUGGUCUACUGAAUAGCUGAGUCUAUAGGCAAACCCCACUGUACCCAGAUCCUAAGGGGAUAUUUUGAAGAUUAAACAGAGCUUUUAGAACAGGGUCCAACAUGUAAAGUAUUAUGUUUGUGUUAGCUAUUGUUAUUUUCUUAUUAUUAGGCAACAUGUUGGGAGACAUAUAAAGUUACCCUG
This 2089-nucleotide long non-coding RNA is filed under the name Mus musculus (house mouse). RNAcentral describes it as "long non-coding RNA chr11:94329222-94331311". The record is from RNAcentral. Lineage: Eukaryota; Metazoa; Chordata; Mammalia; Rodentia; Muridae.